UCCUGGCUCAGAUUGAACGCUGGCGGCAUGCCUUACACAUGCAAGUCGAACGGUAACAGCACUUCGGUGGCUGACGAGUGGCGAACGGGUGAGUAAUACAUCGGAACGUGCCCGAGAGUGGGGGAUAACGCAGCGAAAGCUGUGCUAAUACCGCAUACGAUCUACGGAUGAAAGCAGGGGGAUUCGCAAGGACCUUGCGCUCAUGGAGCGGCCGAUGGCAGAUUAGGUAGUUGGUGGGAUAAAAGCUUACCAAGCCGACGAUCUGUAACUGGUCUGAGAGGACGACCAGCCACACUGGGACUGAGACACGGCCCAGACUCCUACGGGAGGCAGCAGUGGGGGAUUUUGGACAAUGGGCGAAAGCCUGAUCCAGCCAUGCCGCGUGCAGGAUGAAGGCCUUCGGGUUGUAAACUGCUUUUGUACGGAACGAAAAGAUCUCUUCUAAUAAAGGGGGUCCAUGACGGUACCGUAAGAAUAAGCACCGGCUAACUACGUG
Molecule: ribosomal RNA, 496 nt
Filed under: uncultured bacterium
Lineage: Bacteria
Description: bacterial SSU rRNA
Rfam family: Bacterial small subunit ribosomal RNA
Source: RNAcentral